RNAcentral lists this ribosomal RNA (322 nucleotides) under uncultured eukaryote. RNAcentral's name for it is "partial 18S ribosomal RNA". It matches the Rfam family "Eukaryotic small subunit ribosomal RNA", at positions 1470 to 1796 of the family's 1831-position model. The record is from RNAcentral.
CCCUUAGAUGUUCUGGGCCGCACGCGUGCUACACUGAGUGGAUCAGCGGGUCAGGUUGCGCGAAAGUGUUUCCUAAUCUUUAAAUCCGCUCGUGAUGGGGAUUGACGGUUGCAAUUUUCCGUCAUGAACGAGGAAUACCUUGUAAGCGCGGGUCAUCAUCCCGCGCUGAAUACGUCCCUGCCCUUUGUACACACCGCCCGUCGCUCCUACCGAUUGAGUGGUCCGGUGAGGCUUUGGGAUCUGAGCGGAAAGAGCGUUUCGCUGUUUCUGCCCGGAAAACUCAGUCGAACCUUAUCAUUUAGAGGAAGGAGAAGGCGGAACA